This 210-nucleotide unclassified non-coding RNA is filed under the name uncultured Bacillaceae bacterium. RNAcentral describes it as "contains 16S-23S intergenic spacer region". Lineage: Bacteria; Bacillati; Bacillota; Bacilli; Caryophanales; Bacillaceae. The record is from RNAcentral.
UCCGGUUUGUCACCGGCAGUCACCUUAGAGUGCCCAACUGAAUGCUGGCAACUAAGGUCAAGGGUUGCGCUCGUUGCGGGACUUAACCCAACAUCUCACGACACGAGCUGACGACAACCAUGCACCACCUGUCACUCUGUCCCCCGAAGGGGAAAGCUCUAUCUCUAGAGUGGUCAGAGGAUGUCAAGACCUGGUAAGGUGGGGAUGACG